CUCAGAGAGCUCCUCUAUGUCUCUUUUCAUGUAGUCCAGGGAGGUAUAUCUCAGGUCAUUCACACCAGCAUGGACAAUGACUGAGUCAUAUUUGUACUUGCCUUGGAGAGACCUAAGUGCUUGUGUUAUGUGGCGGAUCCUAGCGCCCGACAGGCUGCUCA
This is a long non-coding RNA of Protopterus annectens (West African lungfish), 161 nucleotides long. RefSeq lists it as uncharacterized. NCBI's taxonomy places the organism in Eukaryota, Metazoa, Chordata, Ceratodontiformes, Protopteridae. The transcript is spliced from 3 exons. The record is from RefSeq and is a predicted model, not a curated record.